GACGAACGCUGGCGGCGUGCUUAACACAUGCAAGUCGAACGGAAAGGCCCUGCUUGCAGGGUACUCGAGUGGCGAACGGGUGAGUAACACGUGGGUUAUCUGCCCUGCACUUCGGGAUAAGCCUGGGAAACUGGGUCUAAUACCGGAUAGGAGCCAUUUUUAGUGUGAUGGUUGGAAAGUUUUUUCGGUGUAGGAUGAGCUCGCGGCCUAUCAGCUUGUUGGUGGGGUAAUGGCCUACCAAGGCGGCGACGGGUAGCCGGCCUGAGAGGGUGGACAGCCACAUUGGGACUGAGAUACGGCCCAGACUCCUACGGGAGGCAGCAGUGGGGAAUAUUGCACAAUGGGCGCAAGCCUGAUGCAGCGACGCCGCGUGGGGGAUGACGGCCUUCGGGUUGUAAACUCCUUUCGCUAGGGACGAAGCUUUUUGUGACGGUACCUAGAUAAGAAGCACCGGCUAACUACGUGC
Molecule: ribosomal RNA, 466 nt
Filed under: uncultured bacterium
Lineage: Bacteria
Description: partial 16S ribosomal RNA
Rfam family: Bacterial small subunit ribosomal RNA
Source: RNAcentral